UAAUUGAAGAGUUUGAUCAUGGCUCAGAUUGAACGCUGGCGGCAGGCCUAACACAUGCAAGUCGAGCGGCAGCGACAACAUUGAACCUUCGGGGGAUUUGUUGGGCGGCGAGCGGCGGACGGGUGAGUAAUGCCUGGGAAAUUGCCCUGAUGUGGGGGAUAACCAUUGGAAACGAUGGCUAAUACCGCAUGAUAGCUU
RNAcentral lists this ribosomal RNA (198 nucleotides) under Vibrio fluvialis. RNAcentral's name for it is "partial 16S ribosomal RNA". It matches the Rfam family "Bacterial small subunit ribosomal RNA", at positions 1 to 182 of the family's 1533-position model. The record is from RNAcentral. Lineage: Bacteria; Pseudomonadati; Pseudomonadota; Gammaproteobacteria; Vibrionales; Vibrionaceae.